RNAcentral lists this ribosomal RNA (250 nucleotides) under uncultured bacterium. Its description in RNAcentral is "partial 16S ribosomal RNA". It matches the Rfam family "Bacterial small subunit ribosomal RNA", at positions 524 to 776 of the family's 1533-position model. The record is from RNAcentral.
GACGGGGGGGGCAAGUGUUCUUCGGAAUGACUGGGCGUAAAGGGCACGUAGGCGGUGAAUCGGGUUGAAAGUGAAAGUCGCCAAAAAGUGGCGGAAUGCUCUCGAAACCAAUUCACUUGAGUGAGACAGAGGAGAGUGGAAUUCGUGUGUAGGGGUGAAAUCCGUAAAUAUACGAAGGAACGCCAAAAGCGAAGGCAGCUCUCUGGGUCCCUACUGACGCUGAGGAGCGAAAGCAUGGGUAGCGAACAGG